GAUGAAGAACGUAGCGAAAUGCGAUACUUGGUGUGAAUUGCAGAAUCCCGUGAACCAUCGAGUCUUUGAACGCAAGUUGCGCCCGAAGCCAUCAGGUUGAGGGCACGUCUGCCUGGGCGUCACAUAUCGUUGCCCAAUGCCUAUUGCAGUGCAAUAGGAAUUUCUAGGGCGAAUGAUGGCUUCCCGUGAGCGUUGUUGCCUCGCGGUUGGUUGAAAAUCGAGUCCUUGGUAGGGUGUGCCAUGGUAGAUGGUGGUCGAGUUAGAACGAUACCGAUCAUGUGCAUGCUCCCCAAAAUAUGGCCUCUAUGACCCACACGCGUCUUUGGACGCUCAUGACGAGACCUCAGGUCAGGCGGGGCUACCCGCUGAAUUUAAGCAUAUCAAUAAGCGGAGGA
RNAcentral lists this unclassified non-coding RNA (395 nucleotides) under soil metagenome. RNAcentral describes it as "partial contains 5.8S ribosomal RNA, internal transcribed spacer 2, and large subunit ribosomal RNA". The stretch from base 1 to 122 matches the Rfam family "5.8S ribosomal RNA", at positions 35 to 154 of the family's 154-position model. The record is from RNAcentral.